Molecule: small nucleolar RNA, 104 nt
Filed under: Gossypium hirsutum (cotton)
Lineage: Eukaryota; Viridiplantae; Streptophyta; Magnoliopsida; Malvales; Malvaceae
Description: Plant small nucleolar RNA R71
Rfam family: Plant small nucleolar RNA R71
About the family: R71 is a member of the C/D box family of snoRNAs containing the C (UGAUGA) and D (CUGA) box motifs. Multiple nearly identical copies of this snoRNA have been identified in Arabidopsis, and it is thought to function as a 2'-O-ribose methylation guide for 18S ribosomal RNA.
Source: Rfam by way of RNAcentral
AAUCUGUGGUGCGGGCAUUUUGAAUCAACAUUUCAAAGCGUCCUAUACCUUAUAGAAGCUUUCCCCUUCCUUCUGUCUAAAGAAAGCAAGCUCUCUUCUUAAUU